ACUGUGCGUGCGUUUUUAACACUACAUACUCGUUUAAUAUACAUAUGUAUGUACAUACUACAUACAUACAUAUAUGUACUUUUUUUUCGUGUAAAUGUGGCGACGAAUUUCGUUUUGUUGUUGUUUGCGAAUUUCUUUGUCAAAGUGAACGGACGAUAUGUUCGUGUGCGUUCGUAUGUGUGCGUGUGUGUGAGCGUGCAAUGUGAAGCAAGAAGCAGCAGCAACAACAACAACAGCAAUCAGUUGUCAUAACUGACAACAACAACGACAACAACUCUAUCUACAACGCAAAGGAGUCAUGUGAAAUUAAUCCCGUUGCCUAAAAACACGCACAUGUUCGGGAGAGCCAGAGGAGGAGAAUACUACUUGUCUACAUAUAUUGUCGGAGGGAAACAUAUCUGCUGCAUUCGAGCGGUAUUGUAUUUACGACGCCAAUUGCCUUGAGAAGGCGUGCGCAUACCAAAGAGCUUAGAAGAAUCUAGACAGCAGCAGAGUUGGGCGAAUCGAUUGGUUUAGUGGAGCGGUGGACGAAGCACGCGAUGGCAGCAAAUGCCGCCGAACACAGAGCCGGGCGCAGG
Scaptodrosophila lebanonensis is the source of this 578-nucleotide long non-coding RNA. RefSeq lists it as uncharacterized. The transcript is spliced from 3 exons. The record is from RefSeq and is a predicted model, not a curated record. Lineage: Eukaryota; Metazoa; Arthropoda; Insecta; Diptera; Drosophilidae.